AUCGCAGGCUGCAACCGCCUGCGUGAAGUUGGAAUCGCUAGUAAUCGCGGAUCAGCAUGCCGCGGUGAAUACGUUCCCGGGCCUUGUACACACCGCCCGUCACACCAUGAGAGUCGGGAACACCCGAAGUCCGUAGCCUGACCGCAAGGGGGGCGCGGCCGAAGGUGGGUUCGAUAAUUGGGGUGAAGUCGUAACAAGGUACC
RNAcentral lists this ribosomal RNA (203 nucleotides) under uncultured bacterium. RNAcentral describes it as "partial 16S ribosomal RNA". It matches the Rfam family "Bacterial small subunit ribosomal RNA", at positions 1297 to 1500 of the family's 1533-position model. The record is from RNAcentral.